GAUGAAGAACGUAGCGAAAUGCGAUACUUGGUGUGAAUUGCAGAAUCCCGUGAACCAUCGAGUCUUUGAACGCAAGUUGCGCCCGAAGCCACUAGGCCGAGGGCACGCCUGCCUGGGCGUCACACGCCGUUGCCCCCCCAUCUACUCCUUCGGGAUUGCGGGGGGGCGGAUGAUGGCCUCCCGUGCGCCUAGCCGCGCGGUUGGCAUAAAUACCAAGUCCUCGGCGACGCACGCCACGACAAUCGGUGGUUGCGAAACCUCGGUUGCCCGUCGUGUGCGUUCGUCGCGCAUCGAGGGCUCGAAAAAAUGCUCGGCUCCGGCUGGGCUUUCAACGCGACCCCAGGUCAGGCGGGGUUACCCGCUGAAUUUAAGCAUAUCAAUAAGCGAGGA
Molecule: unclassified non-coding RNA, 390 nt
Filed under: soil metagenome
Description: partial contains 5.8S ribosomal RNA, internal transcribed spacer 2, and large subunit ribosomal RNA
Rfam family: 5.8S ribosomal RNA (bases 1-122)
Source: RNAcentral